RNAcentral lists this ribosomal RNA (510 nucleotides) under uncultured bacterium. Its description in RNAcentral is "bacterial SSU rRNA". It matches the Rfam family "Bacterial small subunit ribosomal RNA", at positions 36 to 518 of the family's 1533-position model. The record is from RNAcentral.
CUGGCGGCGUGCCUAAUACAUGCAAGUCGAACGGCUUUUCUAUGGAAGCUUGCUUCCACUGAGAAGAUAGUGGCGAACGGGUGAGUAACACGUGGGUAACCUGCCCAUAAGAGGGGGAGUAACAUCCGGAAACGGGUGCUAAUACCGCAUAGUUUUCUUGAUCGCAUGAUUGGGAAAGGAAAGACGGCCUUUGUGCUGUCGCUUAUGGAUGGACCCGCGGCGUAUUAGUUAGUUGGUGAGGUAACGGCUCACCAAGACGAUGAUACGUAGCCGACCUGAGAGGGUGAUCGGCCACAUUGGGACUGAGACACGGCCCAAACUCCUACGGGAGGCAGCAGUAGGGAAUCUUCCGCAAUGGACGAAAGUCUGACGGAGCAACGCCGCGUGAGUGAAAGAAGGUUUUCGGAUCGUAAAACUCUGUUGUCAGAGAAGAACAAGUUGGAGAGUAACUGCUCCAGCCUUGACGGUAUCUGACCAGAAAGCCACGGCUAACUACGUGCCAGCCGCCGC